This 72-nucleotide transfer RNA is filed under the name Ornithorhynchus anatinus (platypus). It matches the Rfam family "tRNA". From Rfam's summary of the family: Transfer RNA (tRNA) molecules are approximately 80 nucleotides in length. Their secondary structure includes four short double-helical elements and three loops (D, anti-codon, and T loops). Lineage: Eukaryota; Metazoa; Chordata; Mammalia; Monotremata; Ornithorhynchidae. The record is from Rfam by way of RNAcentral.
AGCAGCGUGGCUCAGCGGAAAGAGCACGGGCUUGGGAGUCAGAGGUCAUGGGUUCUAAUCCCAGCUCUGCCA